This 507-nucleotide ribosomal RNA is filed under the name uncultured bacterium. Its description in RNAcentral is "partial 16S ribosomal RNA". It matches the Rfam family "Bacterial small subunit ribosomal RNA", at positions 28 to 507 of the family's 1533-position model. The record is from RNAcentral.
GACGAACGCUGGCGGCGUGCCUAAUACAUGCGAGUCGAACGCAUUUUCUUUCACCGUAGCUUGCUACACCGAAAGAAAAUGAGUGGCGAACGGGUGAGUAACACGUCGGUAACCUGCCCAUCAGCGGGGGAUAACACUUGGAAACAGGUGCUAAUACCGCAUAAUUCCAUUUACCGCAUGGUAAAUGGAUGAAAGGCGCUUUUGCGUCACUGAUGGAUGGACCCGCGGUGCAUUAGCUAGUUGGUGGGGUAACGGCCUACCAAGGCUGCGAUGCAUAGCCGACCUGGGAGGGUGAGCGGCCACACUGGGAAUGAGAAACGGCCCAGACUCCCACGGGAAGCAGCAGGAGGGAAUCUUCGGGCAUGGGCGCAAGUCUGACCGAGCAACGCCGCGUGAGUGAAGAAGGUUUUCGGAUUGGAAAACUCUGUUGUUAGAGAAGAAAAAGGAUGAGAGUGGAAAGUUCAUCCCUUGACGGUACCUAACCAGAAAGCCACGGCUAACUACGUG